AUGAGUAUAAUGCAAAACAAAAAUUGACCUUCUUGGCUCAAUCCUCUAUCAAGAAGCAUAUGAAAAUCAUAAAAUUGAAAUAAUCUGAUUAUCUAUGAAAUACCUUAGUGGUCUUCGUUGUUGGAGUCUCAUGGUUCAGAUUAUGCCCACAAUUUUUAUUUGAGUUUCUUAACAGGUCAGAGGUGAAACAAUAAUAUUUUCAAGUUAAUCAAGUGUGCAGUCUUUAUACAGUUAAAAUGUACUGUUGGCAGAGUGUUCUAAUUGAUGUUUCCAAAUAUAAGUUAUGCAUGAUCUGGGUGUCCCAUUUCAAAUGUGUUUGUUUGUGUCUCUCAUUCUAAUUUUUGUUCCUCUUGAUGCAAAUAUGUACUUGCUAUUCUAUAAAACAUAGUAUGGUGUUGUUUAGAUCCUGAGCCUGGCUCAUUAGAGACCUUGAAACAUGCAUGAAGAGGAGAGUUGUGCUCCCUGCCAGACAUAUGCAUAGUCCAUUGACAGAUCAUCUAUUCUUUUACUACAACAUAAAUCCCGAAACCUAACUGUUCUUUUUCGAUUGACUGAAUGUAAUGAAGACGAGCUGAAAAGGUUGAAGAUCGAUAGUUCAUACUACAACAUAAAUCCCGAGACCUGCUGUUCUUUUGGAUUGGGUAUAUUUAAUGAACACCCGUUGAAAAGGUAGAAGAUCUCAGUUUGUUGCUUCCACGGUUCCACCUCAGGAUCCCAGUUAUAAAUUUGCUUCUUUUGUGUGCUUGUGCAAGUGCCAUUCUUUUAAUUUUUCUUGGGGUGUCAGACCUGUCGCACUUUCUCAUGCCUUCCAAUGAAUUCCUUAACAUUAGGAUUUGUCCAUGCAAAAAAAAACAUAUCUAAAGGACAACUGGAGAUAUUUAAUGUGGAGAUUUUAGAAGUACACAAUUACUCCUUAGGAUUUUGUAGAUUAAGCCAGAAAGAGAUCUCUUCCGUGUCUUCACCAUAUGUUUGCGCAUUGGCUUACGAAGUGGACAACCAUUACCAUGAUCAAUCAUGUACGUCAGAGUUUGCCUCGCUAUGCUUGCAUGAUUAACUCACCAAAGUAUACUUGGUAACGUUAAUGCCAGGACUUACCUUUCCGAUGCUAUUGGUAUAUUGGCAUGUAUAUGGUCUGUUGUCACCAACUGAUGUUUAAGGUCGCCCAAGCGGUUCUAAGUCUCUCAGCAAGCUACCGGUCUCAAGUCGCAUACAAAUAUUUUUGGAGAUUGCUUUGCGUGAAAGGUAAUCUGCAGCUUGGCAUGCCAUAUGGUGAUCUAUGUGUAUGUUCUUUACCUAUUUAAUAUAUCGAUGAUGUGGUGUAUAGGCCACAGGGAUAUUUGUGCCUUUUUGAGCUUAUCUGUGAGAAAUCAAAUGGAGUUGAGAUGACCACUAUAUAAGAGUUGCGUGUUAUGAAUCUACAUAUAGGAUUGCGCAACCAGAACUGGUGUUUUCUUUCAUGUAAUGGUUGUACUUGGAAGUUAAUUCUAGAAGAUACUGUUUAGAGGUAUUCUGAGGACCAUGCUCACACUAAACCACGAGCCUACUUAAUAGGAUUUUAAGUUUACUUCAGAUAAUUAUUAUUGCAGCAGGAGAAAGCUUUGGUUUGGAUGUCUACUCAAACUAAACCAUGAGGUGGUUUUAUUUUGUGAUAUAUUACCUCUGUACAGAAUUAUAAGACGGUACAGUGUGGUAAAACGUCUUAUAAAUCGGUACAGAGGGAGUAGGCCAAGACUGAAAUCAGUAAAAGUUUUAAUGUUCCGAUGGCUGAAACCCAUAUGUGGUGUCUAUCGAGCCUGCAGAAAUCUCUAUUUUGGUUUGGAGGAAUUAGUUCAUGGGUGUCACCAUUUCAUAGUAGUAAUUCUUAGAGAAGACGUCCCUUUCCAAGUCCUUCGGUUUUACCAAUAAGGCUACAUUAUUUUUGCUGCCUUUGCAUCAUCUGGAUCAGAUGCCGGCGAAACAUGGUUCAGGGUUAUUACAUGCUUUUCUGUUUGCAUUGUGUAAUACUCACCUAUUGUUUGCUAAAGCCGGGCAAGGAAGUGGCGACAAGGGGGUCGAGUCACCUGGGAUUGAUGCAGCUCUUCUUUCAGGAUCAGACACUCCACCUGCUGUUCUGGUUUGUAUGGAAACGAUUAUUAGUUGAACUCUUUCAACCCGGUGACUUAUAAUGUUCAAUUGAGGAAGCCUCUGCCAUAGAAUCUACGGGCAGUGAGAAGGCCGGGGAUAUAGUUGAUGUCAUCUGACCAAUUUUCCAAAAAAUGCAGUGCCUCGGGCGUUGAUUUAUUGUUGCCUCACAUUUCGUAGAUGGUUGUUGGUCGCCGGCAUUGAAGAAAAUUUGUUUGACAAUGCACAAAGAGGUCGACCGUAUGUUUCAUGCCGAGACAUUAUGGUUGUUGGACUACAUUCAUUUUGAUUGUAUCCUGUUUGCCU
Long non-coding RNA from Lolium perenne, 2427 nucleotides. RefSeq lists it as uncharacterized. The record is from RefSeq and is a predicted model, not a curated record. Lineage: Eukaryota; Viridiplantae; Streptophyta; Magnoliopsida; Poales; Poaceae.